CAAUAGCGUAUAUUAAAGUUGUUGCAGUUAAAAAGCUCGUAGUUGGAUUUCUGGUCGGAAGCUCCUGUCCUCUGAUGAGCGUACAAGUGCGUCCUACCAUCCUUCUGUUAACCUUUAAGGCUUUCGCGGCUUUCUAGGGGCUCAGAUAUUUUACCUUGAGAAAAUUAGAGUGUUUCAGGCAGGCUAGCGCCGGAAUACAUUAGCAUGGAACAAUGGAAUAGGACUUUUGCCUCUUCUGUUGGUCAUGAGGCUCGAGUAAUGAUUAAUAGGGAUAGUUGGGGGCAUUAGUACUUAACUGUCAGAGGUGAAAUUCUCGGAUUUGUUAAAGACUAACUUAUGCGAAAGCAUUUGCCAAGGAUGUUUUCAUUAA
This 370-nucleotide ribosomal RNA is filed under the name uncultured eukaryote. RNAcentral describes it as "partial 18S ribosomal RNA". It matches the Rfam family "Eukaryotic small subunit ribosomal RNA", at positions 592 to 976 of the family's 1831-position model. The record is from RNAcentral.